This 253-nucleotide ribosomal RNA is filed under the name uncultured bacterium. RNAcentral describes it as "partial 16S ribosomal RNA". It matches the Rfam family "Bacterial small subunit ribosomal RNA", at positions 524 to 776 of the family's 1533-position model. The record is from RNAcentral.
UACGUAGGGGGCAAGCGUUGUCCGGAAUCAUUGGGCGUAAAGAGCGUGUAGGCGGCCAGAUAAGUCCGCUGUGAAAUCUCGAGGCUCAACUUCGAGCUGUCGGUGGAAACUGUCUGGCUAGAGUCCGGAAGAGGAGAAUGGAAUUCCUGGUGUAGCGGUGAAAUGCGCAGAUAUCGGGAAGAACACCCGUGGCGAAGGCGGCUCUCUGGGACGGUACUGACGCUGAGACGCGAAAGCGUGGGGAGCGAACAGG